GCGGUUUUCGCCGUCCGCCGAGCCGGGCCGAGCCCGCCCGAACGCCGUGGAGCCCAGCUGGACCGCGUGCCCGAGUCGCCGCCGCCGUCGCCCCGCGAGCGAGCGGCCCCGCGGAGGAGGCGGCGCCCCAGGGGGAGGAGGCGCCCGCUCGCCGCAGACCGCCCGCGGCAGAGGCCACCGGGUCGCGCCGCGGCGGGAGCGGCCGGCAGAGGCUGCGUGGCCGAGGGGGAGGGUCGGGGGAGGGAACGUCGCCCCGACCCGCCUCCCCCACCGGCCGCCCGCAGGCUCUGAGCCUCAGUCGGCGCCCAGCAUCUCGCUGCCCUGGACCCUGCGGCGGGCGUGCACCGGGCUCCACUCAGGCUCAGCACUGUAGGUGGACAUCUCUACUGCCCAGGAAUCAUUGAGUGUGUGGACAGGACAGCCUCCUCAGAAGACCGGCUAUACCAGAGUCCCGCCUCGGCAUGGGCCUUGCCAUUGAGUCAACCCCGCUUUUGGCUCCGCUGUCUGUGCUGGUCUGAGGGUGCUGCCCAUCAUGGGGGCAGCCAUAUCCCAGGGCGCCCUCAUCGCCAUCGUCUGCAACGGCCUGGUAGGCUUCUUGCUACUGCUCCUCUGGGUCAUUCUCUGCUGGGCCUGCCACUCCCGCUCUGCUGACAUCGACUCGCUCUCUGAAUCCAGUCCCAACUCCAGCCCUGGUCCCUGCCCCGAGAAGGCACCCCCACCCCAGAAACCCAGCCAUGAAGGCAGCUACCUACUGCAGCCCUGAAGGCCCCUGGCCUAGCCUGGAGUCUGGGACCUAAGUCCACCUCAUCCAGAGCCUGGAAUCAGGAUCCCAGGAUCCAGCCAGCCUGGGGUCCAGAACUCAGAGUCCAGCCUGUCCGGAGCUGGACCUCGCAGCCCAGAGUCUAGCCAGCCUGGCUCUAAGAGGGGCUCUGGUGGCCGUGGGUAAACAGGCCCAGGUUGGGGGUUCAUGAGUUGGUGCUAGGGCCUGGGCCAUCUGGACUCUGUUCCAUCUCAAGGGCCAGGGGCUGGGUCCACUCUCUCCUUAGGCCUAGUGCCUCUAGGCCCUCUCAGUUGGGAAAGCAAACUGGAAUCCUUGGCAAUAAUGGGAGGGCGUCCAGGCUGGGCCCCUCCUCUGGUCCUCCCACUGUUUGCUGGAUAAUAAAUGGAACUAUGGUUC
This is an RNA transcript of Eptesicus fuscus (big brown bat), 1177 nucleotides long. RefSeq lists it as uncharacterized. The record is from RefSeq and is a predicted model, not a curated record. The transcript has 2 exons. Lineage: Eukaryota; Metazoa; Chordata; Mammalia; Chiroptera; Vespertilionidae.